GCGGGAUUAGUUGAUUGGUUCAACGCGAGCUUCCCAAGCUUGAAAAACGGGUUCGAUUCCCGUAUCCCGCU
Molecule: transfer RNA, 71 nt
Filed under: Bacteroidota bacterium
Lineage: Bacteria; Pseudomonadati; Bacteroidota
Also listed under: 3 other names
Description: Bacteroidetes bacterium tRNA-Gly
Rfam family: tRNA
About the family: Transfer RNA (tRNA) molecules are approximately 80 nucleotides in length. Their secondary structure includes four short double-helical elements and three loops (D, anti-codon, and T loops).
Source: RNAcentral